AUUGAACGCUGGCGGCAGGCCUAACACAUGCAAGUCGCACGAGAAAGGGCUUCGGCCUGAGUAGAGUGGCGGACGGGUGAGUAAUGCGUAGGAAUCUGUCUGGUAGUGGGGGAUAACGCG
RNAcentral lists this ribosomal RNA (120 nucleotides) under uncultured bacterium. Its description in RNAcentral is "partial 16S ribosomal RNA". It matches the Rfam family "Bacterial small subunit ribosomal RNA", at positions 30 to 150 of the family's 1533-position model. The record is from RNAcentral.